RNAcentral lists this ribosomal RNA (491 nucleotides) under uncultured bacterium. Its description in RNAcentral is "partial 16S ribosomal RNA". It matches the Rfam family "Bacterial small subunit ribosomal RNA", at positions 28 to 507 of the family's 1533-position model. The record is from RNAcentral.
GAUGAACGCUAGCUACAGGCUUAACACAUGCAAGUCGCGGGGCAGCAUGGGGGUUGCUUGCAACGCCUGAUGGCGACCGGCGCACGGGUGAGUAACGCGUAUCCGACCUGCCCUUCACCCCGGGAUAACACGGCGACAGUCGGACUAACACCGUAUGUUGUCCAUUGACGGCCUCCGAUUUGGGGGAAAGGCUUGGCGGCGAAGGGCUGGGGAUGCGUCGGAUUAGCUUGACGGCGGGGUAACGGCCCACCGUGGAGACGAUCGGUAGGGGUUCUGAGAGGAAGGUCCCCCACGCUGGAACGGGGACACGGUCCGGACACCUACGGGAGGCAGCAGUGAGGAAUAUUGGUCAAUGGGCGUAAGCCUGAACCAGCCAAGUAGCGUGCAGGAUGACGGCCCUAUGGGUUGUGAACAGCUUUUAUGCGGGGAGAAAGUGGCCCACGUGUGGGCUUUUGCAGGUACCGCAUGAAUAAGGACCGGCUAAGUCCGUG